RNAcentral lists this small RNA (186 nucleotides) under Stutzerimonas nitrititolerans. Its description in RNAcentral is "PhrS". It matches the Rfam family "PhrS". The record is from RNAcentral. Lineage: Bacteria; Pseudomonadati; Pseudomonadota; Gammaproteobacteria; Pseudomonadales; Pseudomonadaceae.
GCUUGGAGGAAAGAAAUCAUGUUCGUCGAUAAUGUGGUGCUCGCAGGGGUGGUCACGGUCGGCCUAAUGGUCGCCUUCCUCGGCGGUUUCGGAUAUUUCAUCUGGCGGGACGCGCAAAAGAAGCGCUGAUCCAGCCGGAUCACAGAGCACGCAAGGCAUUUGGGCGACUUAGGUCGCCCUUUUUUU